RNAcentral lists this unclassified non-coding RNA (200 nucleotides) under root metagenome. RNAcentral's name for it is "partial contains small subunit ribosomal RNA, internal transcribed spacer 1, and 5.8S ribosomal RNA". The record is from RNAcentral.
UCUCCGUUGGUGAACCAGCGGAGGGAUCAUUACAGAGUUGCGAAACUCCCUAAACCAUUUGUGAACCUACCCCCAAAACAGUUGCUUCGGCGGCGCCCUAGCCGGCCCGCCGGAGACCGCCAAACUCUUGUCUUUUAGUGUAUUUCUGAGUGGCAUAAGCAAAUAAAUCAAAACUUUCAGCAACGGAUCUCUUGGUUCUG